AGUUUGAUCCUGGCUCAGGAUGAACGCUAGCUACAGGCUUAACACAUGCAAGUCGAGGGGCAGCAUUGGAGUAGCAAUACUUCAGAUGGCGACCGGCGCACGGGUGAGUAACACGUAUCCAACCUGCCGCUUACUCGGGGAUAGCCUUUCGAAAGAAAGAUUAAUACCCGAUGGUAUAAAGAGUUCGCAUGUUCUCUUUAUUAAAGAAUUUCGGUAAGCGAUGGGGAUGCGUUCCAUUAGAUUGUUGGCGGGGUAACGGCCCACCAAGUCUACGAUGGAUAGGGGUUCUGAGAGGAAGGUCCCCCACAUUGGAACUGAGACACGGUCCAAACUCCUACGGGAGGCAGCAGUGAGGAAUAUUGGUCAAUGGACGCGAGUCUGAACCAGCCAAGUAGCGUGAAGGAUGACUGCCCUAUGGGUUGUAAACUUCUUUUAUAAGGGAAUAAAGUGAGGGACGUGUCCCUUUUUGUAUGUACCUUAUGAAUAAGGAUCGGCUAACUCCGUGCCAGCAGCCGCGGUAAUACGGAGGAUCCGAGCGUUAUCCGGAUUUAUUGGGUUUAAAGGGAGCGUAGGUUGACAUAUAAGUCAGCUGUGAAAGUUUACGGCUCAACCGUGAAAUUGCAGUUGAUACUGUAUGUCUUGAGUGUACAAGAGGUGGGCGGAAUUCGUGGUGUAGCGGUGAAAUGCUUAGAUACCACGAAGAACUCCAAUUGCGAAGGCAGCUCACUGGGGUACAACUGACACUGAGGCUCGAAAGUGUGGGUAUCAAACAGGAUUAGAUACCCUGGUAGUCCACACAGUAAACGAUGAAUACUCGCUGUUUGCGAUAUACAGUAAGCGGCCAAGCGAAAGCAUUAAGUAUUCCACCUGGGGAGUACGCCGGCAACGGUGAAACUCAAAGGAAUUGACGGGGGCCCGCACAAGCGGAGGAACAUGUGGUUUAAUUCGAUGAUACGCGAGGAACCUUACCCGGGCUUGAAUUGCAGAGGAACAUAGUUGAAAGAUUAUGGCCGCAAGGUCUCUGUGAAGGUGCUGCAUGGUUGUCGUCAGCUCGUGCCGUGAGGUGUCGGCUUAAGUGCCAUAACGAGCGCAACCCUUAUCAUUAGUUACUAACAGGUCAUGCUGAGGACUCUAGUGAGACUGCCGUCGUAAGAUGUGAGGAAGGUGGA
This 1169-nucleotide ribosomal RNA is filed under the name uncultured Bacteroides sp. Its description in RNAcentral is "bacterial SSU rRNA". It matches the Rfam family "Bacterial small subunit ribosomal RNA", at positions 10 to 1177 of the family's 1533-position model. Lineage: Bacteria; Pseudomonadati; Bacteroidota; Bacteroidia; Bacteroidales; Bacteroidaceae. The record is from RNAcentral.